CCACCAUGAUUGUGAGGCCUCCCCGGUCAUGUGGAACUCACUUCUCCUUCCUGUCACCAUGUGAAGAAGGACGUGUUUGCUUCCCCUUCUGCUAUGAUUGUAAGCUUCCUGAGGCCUCCCCAGCCCUGCAGAACUAGUAAGAGACAUGGGUGAAAGAGUUAUCCGGAAUGGAAUGCUGAGGAGACCCUAAAGGGAAUUUCCGGGUGGAUGGCCAGCACUGUCACUCGAUGAGUGGAGGAUUGACAAACUUGCCAAAUACUGCAAGAAAAGAUGUUGCUGAUCACGGAUAGGAAAUACUCCAAGUCCCAGGAGAUAGUCUGUUCUUAGGAGACUUCCACACCAAGUCUGCUGACCAGAGAAGGACCAGUCAACCACCA
Molecule: long non-coding RNA, 377 nt
Organism: Homo sapiens (human)
Lineage: Eukaryota; Metazoa; Chordata; Mammalia; Primates; Hominidae
Gene: PDE7B-AS1
Product: PDE7B antisense RNA 1
Source: Ensembl